This 443-nucleotide ribosomal RNA is filed under the name uncultured bacterium. Its description in RNAcentral is "partial 16S ribosomal RNA". It matches the Rfam family "Bacterial small subunit ribosomal RNA", at positions 338 to 795 of the family's 1533-position model. The record is from RNAcentral.
CCUACGGGGUGCAGCAGUGGGGGAUAUUGCACAAUGGGGGAAACCCUGAUGCAGCGACGCCGCGUGGGCGAAGAAGUAUUUCGGUAUGUAAAGCCCUAUCAGCAGGGAAGAAGAAAUGACGGUACCUGAGUAAGAAGCACCGGCUAAAUACGUGCCAGCCGCCGCGGUAAUACGUAUGGUUCAAGCUUUAUCCCGAUUUACUGGUGGUAAAGGGAGCGCAGGCGGCACGGCAAUCCUGAUGUGAAAGCCCGCGGCCCAACCGCGGGACAGCAUUGGGAACUACCGGGCUGGAGGGCCGGAGAGGUAGGCGGAAUUGCUAGGGUAGCGGUGAAAUGCGUAGAUAUUAGGAGGAACACCAGUGGCGAAGGCGGCAUACUGGACGGUGACUGACGCUGAGGCUCGAAAGCGUGGGGAGCAAACAGGAUUAGAUACCCCGGGUAGUC